RNAcentral lists this ribosomal RNA (468 nucleotides) under uncultured bacterium. RNAcentral describes it as "partial 16S ribosomal RNA". It matches the Rfam family "Bacterial small subunit ribosomal RNA", at positions 28 to 507 of the family's 1533-position model. The record is from RNAcentral.
GACGAACGCUGGCGGCGUGCUUAACACAUGCAAGUCGAACGGAAAGGCCCUGCUUUUGUGGGGUGCUCGAUUGGCGAACGGGUGAGUAACACGUGAGUAACCUGCCCUUGACUUUGGGAUAACUUCAGGAAACUGGGUCUAAUACCGGAUAGGAGCUCCUGCUGCAUGGUGGGGGUUGGAAAGUUUCGGCGGUUGGGGAUGGACUCGCGGCUUAUCAGCUUGUUGGUGGGGUAGUGGCUUACCAAGGCUUUGACGGGUAGCCGGCCUGAGAGGGUGACCGGCAACAUUGGGACGGAGAUACGGCCCAGAAUCAUACGGGAGGCAGCAGUGGGGAAGAUUGCACAAUGGGCGGAAGCCUGAUGCAGCAACGCCGCGUGCGGGAUGACGGCCUUCGGGUUGUAAACCGCUUUCGCCUGUGACGAAGCGUGAGUGACGGUAAUGGGUAAAGAAGCACCGGCUAACUACGUG